This 441-nucleotide ribosomal RNA is filed under the name uncultured bacterium. RNAcentral's name for it is "partial 16S ribosomal RNA". It matches the Rfam family "Bacterial small subunit ribosomal RNA", at positions 338 to 795 of the family's 1533-position model. The record is from RNAcentral.
CCUACGGGUGGCAGCAGUGGGGAAUAUUGGGCAAUGGAGGAAACUCUGACCCAGCAACGCCGCGUGAAGGAUGAAGGUACUCGGAUUGUAAACCCCUUUUGCGAGGGAUGAAGAAUGUCGGUACCUCGUGAGGAAGCCCCGGCCAACUACGGGACAGUAGCCGCGGUAAUACGCAGGGGGCAAGCGUUGUCCGGAAUGACUGGGCGUAAAGGGAGUUUAGGGGGCCUGUUAAGGUAUAUGUUAAAGCCCCCGGCUUAACCGAGGAACUGCAGCUAAAACUGGAGGGCUAGAGUGCAUGAGAGGUAAGCGGAAUUUCUGGUGUAGCGGUGGAAUGCGUAGAUAUUAGGAAGAACACCGAAGGCGAAGGCGGCUUACUGGACUGUAACUGACGCUGAGGCUCGAAAGCGUGGGGAGCGAACAGGAUUAGAUACCCUUGUAGUC